AGCGGGGUAGAGGAAUUGGUCAACUCAUCAGGCUCAUGACCUGAAGACUGCAGGUUCGAAUCCUGUCACCGCCU
Molecule: transfer RNA, 74 nt
Filed under: Triticum aestivum (bread wheat)
Lineage: Eukaryota; Viridiplantae; Streptophyta; Magnoliopsida; Poales; Poaceae
Also listed under: 1 other name
Rfam family: tRNA
About the family: Transfer RNA (tRNA) molecules are approximately 80 nucleotides in length.
Source: Rfam by way of RNAcentral